CGGGUGUAAGAUUAAAUCAGUAAGUUGUAGCCUUAUAUAUCUAGUAUUAGACUAGACACCUGA
RNAcentral lists this transfer RNA (63 nucleotides) under Euciroa cf. queenslandica STW-2017. RNAcentral's name for it is "tRNA-Tyr". Lineage: Eukaryota; Metazoa; Mollusca; Bivalvia; Euciroidae. The record is from RNAcentral.